Molecule: ribosomal RNA, 518 nt
Filed under: uncultured Chlorophyta
Lineage: Eukaryota; Viridiplantae; Chlorophyta
Description: bacterial SSU rRNA
Rfam family: Bacterial small subunit ribosomal RNA
Source: RNAcentral
GCACGGGGGGCCUACGGGAGGCAGCAGUGGGGAAUUUUCCGCAAUGGACGAAAGUCUGACGGAGCGACGCUGCGUGAAGGAUGACGGCCUGCGGGUUGUAAACUUCUUUUCUCGAAGAAGAAUAAAUGACGGUAUUCGAGGAAUAAGCAUCGGCUAACUCUGUGCCAGCAGCCGCGGUAAGACAGAGGAUGCAAGUGUUAUUUGGAUUGAUUGGGCGUAAAGCGUCUGUAGGCGGUUUGGAAAGUCUUUUGUGAAAUUCUUCAGCUCAANUGGGGGUCCGCAAAAGAAACUUCUAAGCUUGAGGGAAGUAGAGGUAUAGGGAAUUUCCGGUGGAGCGGUGAAAUGCGUAGAUAUCGGAAGGAACACCAAUAUGGCGAAGGCACUGUACUGGGCUUUACCUGCCGUUAAGAGACGAAAGCUAAAGGAGUGAUUAGGAUUAGAUACCCUAGUAAUUUUACCCGUAAACGAUGGAAACUCACUGCCGAGCCGGUAUUCGGAGCGGUGGUCAAGCUAACGCG